RNAcentral lists this transfer RNA (72 nucleotides) under Camelus bactrianus (Bactrian camel). It matches the Rfam family "tRNA". From Rfam's summary of the family: Transfer RNA (tRNA) molecules are approximately 80 nucleotides in length. The record is from Rfam by way of RNAcentral. RNAcentral also lists the same sequence under 3 other names. Lineage: Eukaryota; Metazoa; Chordata; Mammalia; Artiodactyla; Camelidae.
GAGGGUAUAGCUUAGUGGUAGAGUGCUUGCCUAGCAUGCAUGAGGUCCUGGGUUCAAUCCCCAGUAACACCA